AGCGUACACGGUGGAUGCCCUGGCAGUCAGAGGCGAUGAAGGACGUGCUAAUCUGCGAAAAGCGUCGGUAAGGUGAUAUGAACCGUUAUAACCGGCGAUGUCCGAAUGGGGAAACCCAGUGCAAUUCGUUGCACUAUCGUUAACUGAAUACAUAGGUUAACGAGGCGAACCGGGGGAACUGAAACAUCUAAGUACCCCGAGGAAAAGAAAUCAACCGAGAUUCCCCCAGUAGCGGCGAGCGAACGGGGAGCAGCCCAGAGUCUGAAUCAGCUUGUGUGUUAGUGGAACGGUCUGGAAAGUCCGACGGUACAGGGUGAUAGUCCCGUACACCAAAAUGCACAGGUUGUGAACUCGAAGAGUAGGGCGGGACACGUGGUAUCCUGUCUGAAUAUGGGGGGACCAUCCUCCAAGGCUAAAUACUCCUGACUGACCGAUAGUGAACCAGUACCGUGAGGGAAAGGCGAAAAGAACCCCGGCGAGGGGAGUGAAAAAGAACCUGAAACCGUGUACGUACAAGCAGUGGGAGCACCUUCGGGUGUGACUGCGUACCUUUUGUAUAAUGGGUCAGCGACUUAUAUUCUGUAGCAAGGUUAACCGUAUAGGGGAGCCGCAGGGAAACCGAGUCUUAACUGGGCGUUAAGUUGCAGGGUAUAGACCCGAAACCCGGUGAUCUAGCCAUGGGCAGGUUGAAGGUUGGGUAACACUAACUGGAGGACCGAACCGACUAAUGUUGAAAAAUUAGCGGAUGACUUGUGGCUGGGGGUGAAAGGCCAAUCAAACCGGGAGAUAGCUGGUUCUCCCCGAAAGCUAUUUAGGUAGCGCCUCGUGAACUCAUCUUCGGGGGUAGAGCACUGUUUCGGCUAGGGGGUCAUCCCGACUUACCAACCCGAUGCAAACUACGAAUACCGAAGAAUGUUAUCACGGGAGACACACGGCGGGUGCUAACGUCCGUCGUGAAGAGGGAAACAACCCAGACCGCCAGCUAAGGUCCCAAAGUCAUGGUUAAGUGGGAAACGAUGUGGGAAGGCACAGACAGCCAGGAUGUUGGCUUAGAAGCAGCCAUCAUUUAAAGAAAGCGUAAUAGCUCACUGGUCGAGUCGGCCUGCGCGGAAGAUGUAACGGGGCUAAACCAUGCACCGAAGCUGCGGCAGCGACACUAUGUGUUGUUGGGUAGGGGAGCGUUCUGUAAGCCUGCGAAGGUGGCCUGUGAGGGCUGCUGGAGGUAUCAGAAGUGCGAAUGCUGACAUAAGUAACGAUAAAGCGGGUGAAAAGCCCGCUCGCCGGAAGACCAAGGGUUCCUGUCCAACGUUAAUCGGGGCAGGGUGAGUCGACCCCUAAGGCGAGGCCGAAAGGCGUAGUCGAUGGGAAACAGGUUAAUAUUCCUGUACUUGGUGUUACUGCGAAGGGGGGACGGAGAAGGCUAUGUUAGCCGGGCGACGGUUGUCCCGGUUUAAGCAUGUAGGCGGAGGUUCCAGGUAAAUCCGGUACCUUUUAACGCUGAGGUGUGAUGACGAGGCACUACGGUGCUGAAGUAACAAAUGCCCUGCUUCCAGGAAAAGCCUCUAAGCAUCAGGUAACAUUAAAUCGUACCCCAAACCGACACAGGUGGUCAGGUAGAGAAUACCAAGGCGCUUGAGAGAACUCGGGUGAAGGAACUAGGCAAAAUGGUGCCGUAACUUCGGGAGAAGGCACGCUGGUGUGUAGGUGAAGUCCCUGCGGAUGGAGCUGAGACCAGUCGAAGAUACCAGCUGGCUGCAACUGUUUAUUAAAAACACAGCACUGUGCAAACACGAAAGUGGACGUAUACGGUGUGACGCCUGCCCGGUGCCGGAAGGUUAAUUGAUGGGGUUAUCCGUAAGGAGAAGCUCUUGAUCGAAGCCCCGGUAAACGGCGGCCGUAACUAUAACGGUCCUAAGGUAGCGAAAUUCCUUGUCGGGUAAGUUCCGACCUGCACGAAUGGCGUAAUGAUGGCCAGGCUGUCUCCACCCGAGACUCAGUGAAAUUGAACUCGCUGUGAAGAUGCAGUGUACCCGCGGCAAGACGGAAAGACCCCGUGAACCUUUACUAUAGCUUGACACUGAACAUUGAGCCUUGAUGUGUAGGAUAGGUGGGAGGCUUUGAAGCGUGGACGCCAGUCUGCGUGGAGCCAACCUUGAAAUACCACCCUUUAAUGUUUGAUGUUCUAACGUUGGCCCCUAAUCGGGGUUGCGGACAGUGUCUGGUGGGUAGUUUGACUGGGGCGGUCUCCUCCCAAAGAGUAACGGAGGAGCACGAAGGUUAGCUAAUCCUGGUCGGACAUCAGGAGGUUAGUGCAAUGGCAUAAGCUAGCUUGACUGCGAGCGUGACGGCGCGAGCAGGUGCGAAAGCAGGUCAUAGUGAUCCGGUGGUUCUGAAUGGAAGGGCCAUCGCUCAACGGAUAAAAGGUACUCCGGGGAUAACAGGCUGAUACCGCCCAAGAGUUCAUAUCGACGGCGGUGUUUGGCACCUCGAUGUCGGCUCAUCACAUCCUGGGGCUGAAGUAGGUCCCAAGGGUAUGGCUGUUCGCCAUUUAAAGUGGUACGCGAGCUGGGUUUAGAACGUCGUGAGACAGUUCGGUCCCUAUCUGCCGUGGGCGCUGGAGAAUUGAGGGGGGCUGCUCCUAGUACGAGAGGACCGGAGUGGACGCAUCACUGGUGUUCGGGUUGUCAUGCCAAUGGCACUGCCCGGUAGCUAAAUGCGGAAGAGAUAAGUGCUGAAAGCAUCUAAGCACGAAACUUGCCCCGAGAUGAGUUCUCCCUGAGACUAUAAGUCUCCUGAAGGAACGUUGAAGACGACGACGUUGAUAGGCCGGGUGUGUAAGCGCAGCGAUGCGUUGAGCUAACCGGUACUAAUGAACCGUGAGGCUUAACC
Molecule: ribosomal RNA, 2889 nt
Filed under: human gut metagenome
Description: bacterial LSU rRNA
Rfam family: Bacterial large subunit ribosomal RNA
Source: RNAcentral